AUUGAACGCUGGCGGCAGGCCUAACACAUGCAAGUCGAGCGGAUGAAGGGAGCUUGCUCCUGGAUUCAGCGGCGGACGGGUGAGUAAUGCCUAGGAAUCUGCCUGGUAGUGGGGGAUAACGUCCGGAAACGGGCGCUAAUACCGCAUACGUCCUGAGGGAGAAAGUGGGGGAUCUUCGGACCUCACGCUAUCAGAUGAGCCUAGGUCGGAUUAGCUAGGUGGUGGGGUAAAGGCCUACCAAGGCGACGAUCCGUAACUGGUCUGAGAGGAUGAUCAGUCACACGGGAAGUGAGACAGGGUCCAGACUCCUACGGGAGGCAGCAGUGGGGAAUAUUGGACGAUGGGCGAAAGCCUGAUCCAGCAAUGCCGCGUGUGUGAAGAAGGUCUUCGGAUUGGAAAGCACUUUAAGUUGGGAGGAAGGGAAGUAAGUUAAUACCUUGCUGUUUUGACGUUACCAACAGAAUAAGCACCGGCUAACUUCGUG
This 484-nucleotide ribosomal RNA is filed under the name uncultured bacterium. Its description in RNAcentral is "partial 16S ribosomal RNA". It matches the Rfam family "Bacterial small subunit ribosomal RNA", at positions 30 to 507 of the family's 1533-position model. The record is from RNAcentral.